CCGUUUGUUUACCAUUUGCAGUACCAAUGUUUUCCUGCACAAAUUCACUUUCUUUGCUAUAACCACUUUCCAAGGAGUCAGCACCGUUUACAAGUGGUUUUUCACUGUUUGUGUCAUCUACAAAUGUCUGGACAGUGUUUAUUGUGCAAAGUAACAUACGGAAAAAAAAUUUAUUUUGGGCCAGUUUUUGUGAUAAUAUUGUGCUAUGAUAGUUAUUGAAGACUACAUGUAUUGCCCCACUGGUUGAAUCAAAUACUGUUAUGCACAAUAUUGUGAAACUCUUUGCCUAUAUCAUCCACUGGUGCCAGAGAGAUCUUAGUGUUCUUGUUGUAUGUGAAUGUGACUGGUGGGGAAGGUUGAGAGGACCAGUCUUGCUCACAGAACUUCAAUGACGUUCACAAUUAGCAACUUGGUCCCCAGAACUGAUUAUGAC
Long non-coding RNA from Schistocerca serialis cubense, 433 nucleotides. RefSeq lists it as uncharacterized. The transcript has 3 exons. Lineage: Eukaryota; Metazoa; Arthropoda; Insecta; Orthoptera; Acrididae. The record is from RefSeq and is a predicted model, not a curated record.